GACGAACGCUGGCGGCGUGCUUAACACAUGCAAGUCGAACGGAAAGGCCCUGCUUUUGUGGGGUGCUCGAUUGGCGAACGGGUGAGUAACACGUGAGUAACCUGCCCUUGACUUUGGGAUAACUUCAGGAAACUGGGGCUAAUACCGGAUAGGAGCUCCUGCUGCAUGGUGGGGGUUGGAAAGUUUCGGCGGUUGGGGAUGGACUCGCGGCUUAUCAGCUUGUUGGUGGGGUAGUGGCUUACCAAGGCUUUGACGGGUAGCCGGCCUGAGAGGGUGGACGGCCACAAUGGGACUGAGGUACGGAGCAGACUCCUACGGGAGGCAGCAGUGGGGAAUAUUGCACAAUGGGCGGAAGCCUGAUGCAGCAACGCCGCGUGCGGGAUGACGGCCUUCGGGUUGUAAACCGCUUUCGCCUGUGACGAAGCGUGAGUGACGGUAAUGGGUAAGGAAGCACCGGCUAACUACGUG
This 468-nucleotide ribosomal RNA is filed under the name uncultured bacterium. RNAcentral describes it as "partial 16S ribosomal RNA". It matches the Rfam family "Bacterial small subunit ribosomal RNA", at positions 28 to 507 of the family's 1533-position model. The record is from RNAcentral.